UACGUAGGGUGCGAGCGUUAAUCUGAAUUACUGGGCGUAAAGCGUGCGCAGGCGGCUUUGCAAGACAGAUGUGAAAUCCCCGGGCUCAACCUGGGAACUGCAUUUGUGACUGCAAGGCUAGAGUACGGCAGAGGGGGAUGGAAUUCCGCGUGUAGCAGUGAAAUGCGUAGAUAUGCGGAGGAACACCAAUGGCGAAGGCAAUCCCCUGGGCCUGUACUGACGCUCAUGCACGAAAGCGUGGGGAGCAAACAGG
This 253-nucleotide ribosomal RNA is filed under the name uncultured bacterium. RNAcentral's name for it is "partial 16S ribosomal RNA". It matches the Rfam family "Bacterial small subunit ribosomal RNA", at positions 524 to 776 of the family's 1533-position model. The record is from RNAcentral.